GACAGUGAUGUAAAAGCCCUAUUCCAUUUCUGAAUGCUCUCAAUGUGGAGUAACUCAAACUGAUGUC
Small nucleolar RNA from Sphaeramia orbicularis (orbiculate cardinalfish), 67 nucleotides. Ensembl annotates it as small nucleolar RNA SNORD98. The record is from Ensembl. NCBI's taxonomy places the organism in Eukaryota, Metazoa, Chordata, Actinopteri, Kurtiformes, Apogonidae.